UCACACGGUGGAAAAAGAAGGAAAUCUAUCUUUGAGAGCUUUGAAGCAAGAAAAUGGCAAAGAAAGAAAAGAUUUUACCAGAAUCAGUAGAGCAAGGAUAAAUAAAAUAAAAGAAGCCAUUCCUUUAAAUAGAAAGGUGCACGACUCUCGAAAGAUGUCAAGUUGGUACGAAUCUAUAAAAUGAACCACGCAUCAAGCCUUUAUUAGCUCAAAGCUAGCCAACGGUCUCUACAUUUAAUGCAUCCCAAC
Molecule: long non-coding RNA, 249 nt
Filed under: Elaeis guineensis (African oil palm)
Lineage: Eukaryota; Viridiplantae; Streptophyta; Magnoliopsida; Arecales; Arecaceae
Description: long non-coding RNA (EGUI_LNC014593)
Source: RNAcentral